Long non-coding RNA from Triticum aestivum (bread wheat), 1112 nucleotides. RefSeq lists it as uncharacterized. The transcript is spliced from 3 exons. The record is from RefSeq and is a predicted model, not a curated record. NCBI's taxonomy places the organism in Eukaryota, Viridiplantae, Streptophyta, Magnoliopsida, Poales, Poaceae.
AUAUUUCGUCUGGUUUAUUUUCGUCCGGUUUAUUUUCGUCUCAUAUCCCACCACCAUAUCUCCUCACAUUGAUUUUUUUACCCUCACAAUAAAAACUUUCCUAACUUUUCCAAAGUUUCCUAACUAGACACGUUAUAAACGGGCAUGUACCGAUAGCACGUUAUCAAUUAAUAAAAUUUUGUUUUAUGACAAUCAAUUCCAAAUCCUAAUUUUCCUAAUGCAUCGAUCUUUGCCUUUUUUAAGUAGUUAUUUUGAUAGGGAGGGUUUAGCCACGAAAAUCAUCCCUCCAUCGUCGGCUGCAUCCCUCACCCACGUCGCUGUUGCAGGAUCUUCAUCCGUCAUCCUGAGCAAUUGGGGCGGCGAUGCGGGCGAGCUUCACGAUAGUGGGGAGGACCAGGCCGCGGUGAAGGCAGGUCAUGCGCUCCUCACGCUCCACGAACGGAACCUGCGCACGGAGGCGGUAGCGCGGGGUGGCAGCCGGCAAUGAGGCGGCCGCGCUACGUGACGAGCUACGGGUCCCCCUUUGUGAUGUUUUGGCAUCGCUCCUUCAUCGCACAUCCUCAGGUACGUCAAUUCACUUCCUUCCCUUCCCUUCGUCCCUCGGUCCCACGCUCGUGGCGCUGAAGUGGUGGCAACAGGCGAUGGCGGUGGUGUCGCUGAUGGCGGCGAGGACAGCAUGUGGCAGCUCCCGAAGCAUGAACACGACCGCACCUCGGGCCUGCCGUCUGCCAAGAUAUGGCUCUGGCCGAUUGACAAUGGAGGUUUGGGAUCCUUCCUCUCAGCACCCACUCCUGGAAGAAUCAGCGGUGCGCCACGCCGAUUGAACCCCGUCGAGAUCACUCGCCAAGAUUGCUAUUCUGAAGUUUAUUGUAAAGAAAGUGAAGAGUGAGACAGGAUCCGUUUAUUUUCAACCGGUUUAUUUCCAUCAAAUUACCCCCACCCCCACGCCCACCCACCGAAACGCGCCCAGCGAACCGGGGAGAGAUCCAUUGAUUUGGCUAAGGUAGGAAAGAAUCUAUUAUUUGUUUGCUAAAGCAAAUUGCAUUAAUGGGAGAGAUCCGUUGAUUUGGCUAAGGUAGGAAAGAAUCUAUUAUUUGUUUGCUAAAGCAAAU